Molecule: long non-coding RNA, 2600 nt
Organism: Cervus elaphus (red deer)
Lineage: Eukaryota; Metazoa; Chordata; Mammalia; Artiodactyla; Cervidae
Exons: 3
Source: RefSeq, a predicted model, not a curated record
UGCUGCCAGGCUCUCUAUUUGUCUGAUGCCCAGGAGGGGAGACAGGGCUGGUCUCCAGGAGGCCGCCCUAAUCUUAGAAGGCAUUUGCGAGGUGCAUGCAGUCUUCAAGCAGUGGAUGGGGGCUCUGUCUUCAAUGAGAGGGAGUGAAACCUGAGGGAGCCCUGGAAGGGCUCAGGGGUCCUGGGGCUCAAAGCUCUCAAGUCCCAAUCUCCCCAUCCUAGACUGUCCUUCCUGAUCUGGGCCUUGAAGUUUGCCGGCCUGCGCGGGAAGGAGAGAAAUUUCACACCCAAGUUGCUGUUGGACCUGCCUAGUACAGACCUGGGGCUCCAGUCAAUGGGGACAGACAUUUAGGCAGCAAAAAGAAAAAAGAAUUUCUGCUCGACAAGACUGGAAAACCCAGCAUCUGAGUGCUCCUCGGAAGGUCUGGAGGAUACUUGCCAAGAUGAUCACUCACUCUGGGAGAAGCCAGGUUGUGAACAGGCCUCUGGAGAUGCCCACGAGGUGAGGAGCUGAGGUCUCCUGCCAACAGUCCCGUGACUGAGCAACCUGGAAAGUGGAUCUUCCAGCCCCACUCAAGCCUCCAGAGACCGAUGCCCAGGGUAACAGCUCAACUGCAACCUCACAAAGGUCCUUGAACUGCAACACCCAGCAAGUUGCUCCCAGAUUCCUCACUCCCAGAACUGGUGGGCCGUGAUGCAUGUUUGCUGCUUUAUGCUGUUCAGGUAUGUGGUCAUUUGUGACACAGCAAUGGUGAUUCAUACACCAGCUAACUGCACCUCUAACUCCUGACUCUGUUCUGUCAGCUGGGAGCUGUGUCCGCUCCCAGCAGGGUACUCCCACUUUCUUCUCCUCAUCAGCCUCCACCUCCCUCCAGCCCCCUGGCCCUGGCUCAGCAAGAGUCACCAAUAAGGGCCAGCACUGACCAUAACAGAAGGAAGGGCAAGGCUCAGGGAAACCAGGGAACCUCAAAGUCCUGACCCCUGGCCUGAGAAGAAAACUUGACCUUCUCCCCUCUGCCCACAUGGCUUACUUAACUCUUCCCGACACUGAAAUCUCUUUCCCUCCAUCCUGCUUAUCCCACUGCAGAGGAGCCAAGCAGCCACUUCCUUUUCCAAACUGCCUGAGGACCAUCACUUUCCUGGUUCAGUCCUGAUCUCUUCCCUGUGUCCCAGCACCAGAGACCAGUAUUCCUUGGGAAGCUAUAUUCCACCAUCAACUGCCAUCAUUUGCUGAGAGUCCCUGCAGAAAAUAGAAGGGAAGACCUCCCACUGACUGCCCAGGCCAGGACGGCUGCCCCUGGGCACACAGCUUGGAGUGGAAUUUUCAGAGCUCCUUGGUGGGCACUUGAUGAGUCCUCUCCAGUUGGAGGCUUCCACUCUUCUGCUGGCAAUUUUCUUGUCUUAUUUCUUAGCAAAUAGCUCUCCUUUCUCUGUUCUCUCCUUUUGCAGCUCCAAAGAGUAGGAUACUGGAUCGUCUGGACCAGACUUCUAGUUGUCUUUUCUCUCUGUCAAUCUCUUUUUCUAGAUACUCCCUCCACCCUGCCUUCUAUCUCAUCUAUUAGGAAUCCAAGUGCUUGGAUGACCUCUUCCUUGUCUCUUAGAUCCAAUAUCCUCUCUCACAUCCCUGAUAAUAUUAAUGACAGUUUCAUUAAGAGCUUCUCUUCUGCUCCUUUCUCUCUGAGUCCUCUGAUGCCUGUUUUCUGUUUGGUUCCACACUGGUACAUUCAUUCACAUGGUCAGGGAUUCUGGGUAAUCUGUUCAGAGUCAAGAGAGUAGCACUAAAGUGCUCUCUGAAGAUUUCUUGGGGGGAGGGGGCUUUACGCUGGUGGGAAGAGCAGAUUUCUUGUGGGGUAACCUCAUAGGUCAGUGUUUCCAGGUCUCUUCUCUAGGGACAUGUGCUCUCCCUAAAGCAUGGAGGUCCUGCUGCCAUCUUCCUGGGUGCAGAGUUGGGAAGGCGCUUUGUGGGUUCUCUUAGUGUGAAGUCUUUCUUCUUCUACCCUCGCCCUUCUCAGUCCAGAAUCCCACCCCCACCUCCUUCUGUCCCUGGAGUCCCUGAGACCAGAGCCACCCCUUCUCCACUUUCUCCAAAGAGCAAAACUUCAGGCUUGUCUGGAGACUGCAGAGGAGGAAACCUGGGGUCCCACCCACUUCCUGGACAGAGUCUGAAUCAACCCCUCCAUUUUAUUCUUGCCUUGACCACCCUUACAUCAUCUGCCUCUUGUGAUGCCAGCUGCUACCCACUUUCCAGGCUCCUGGGUUCCAGAGUGGACAGACCUGAUCCUUGGCAGUGGAUUCCACCCCACCCCUACAGAGCCUUAGGUCCUGGCUUCCUCUUCUCCAUCCUACCCUCUCACAUCUUAGCCUACCUCCUCUCCAUCCUACCCGCUCACAUUUCAGCCUACUCAUGGGGAAAGAGGAGGUAGCUGUGGCUCCCUCUCCCAUGCUGUUGCAAGGCAGAAAUGAGGUCACCAUGGUGCCAUUGUUAGGGGAAGCACACUGACUGAAAUAGCCCACCCUGGCCAGGCACCAUAGUAACCGUUUGCGUGAGUUAUUUUACAACAGGAGGUCCUGGUAAAGAAUGAGGAACUAACAGGCCACCAC